GCUCAGGUGAAAAGUGCCAAAGGAUUUCACACAAACACGGGCAGAGAGUCCCCAAAAGGCUGCGAAGGGAUUUCCAGAGGGAUCCUGGGCCAGCUUUUAUGGGAAAGGGAGCCCAGCUCCCAGUGAAACCCUGGACUCUCUGGCAGAUUCCAGAGGGCUUCAAGCACAGGAAUUCUCUCCAAAGGGGAAGUGACACAUUUCAAUUCCCUCCUUACCAGCUCAAUGGAGGUGCUGAAGCAUUUUUAUCCCAUCUCCAGCUCUUUACCAUAUGAUUUAUUCAAGGAAAAGCCUCAGUGAGGCUUCACCUGCC
Molecule: long non-coding RNA, 310 nt
Organism: Passer domesticus (house sparrow)
Lineage: Eukaryota; Metazoa; Chordata; Aves; Passeriformes; Passeridae
Exons: 3
Source: RefSeq, a predicted model, not a curated record